Long non-coding RNA from Capra hircus (goat), 2714 nucleotides. NCBI's taxonomy places the organism in Eukaryota, Metazoa, Chordata, Mammalia, Artiodactyla, Bovidae. The record is from Ensembl.
AAGCUCGCCGAGGGGUCGCGGGUGCCGCUGAAGGCCUCUGGGUCUCUCUGAAACACCUUCACCUACACGAGCUUUAAUUUCCCUGAACUCAGCGACUGCUGGAGUGAAGCCUGGGCUAGAGAUUUCUGACCUCACCCCCCGCCGAUCCCACCAAUCCCGUCCUGGCCAGUCAAAGCGGGUGUGGACGUGCCCGGGCACCUUCCAGGGCCAGAACCGGCUGCUCCAGAGGCUGAACGGGCACCAGCAGGCCCUGGGCCUUGUGCUUCCCAGCCUCACCUCCUGUGUUGUGACAGCGGUCCACAAGGAAGCGUUUUUAUCUCUGUGUUUAAGGAAAUGGCAACUGACUCCAGUACUCUUGCCUGGAAAAUUCCAUGGAUGGCGGAGCCUGGCAGGCCACAGUCCACAGGAUCGCAAACAGCCGGACACGACUGAGCCACUUCACUUUAAGGGAGAGAGAGAUUCACCAGGCCGGGGAAUCUGGUCCUUCCCGCGGCUGAGGGCAAAUUCUCAGCCUGAAGGCAAGAGAAAGCUGACAGACGAGUCUUUUUCUACCCAUAGCUGCAAUUCGACAUUAGUAACACGAGCGAUCGGCAAUCAGCCUGCCGUGUGUGGCGCCAUGAUAGAAAAUGGGAUGAAGCUGAGGCCAGAGCACCACUGCGUUCAGAGCGAGCUGGGCUGUGCUCGAAGGCAUCUCGUCACAGAAGCUUAUUGUGCAGCUUACUGUUUGGGGAAAAGAAACCUCUGCAGGGCCACUAAUCAAUGGCCUGAGGUCCCCGAGCCCUGCUUCCGUGGCUUUGAAAGGAAUCGAUGCCCCUGGGACGGAGAUGCUGAAUCUAAAAGGAACAAGUUUCAGUAGGAACAAUAGACAUUUUUGAGUCUGUUCCAGAAAGAUCAUCUGGACGGUUUUGGUACACACCCGGAAAAUGACAGGAAAGACUCGGUCUUCUGAAGGUGUGGAACCAAAUGAAACUCAUAAAAUGAAACACUCGUGAGGUUUGUUUUCUGUUUACCCACUCCAGCCACCCUGCCCUGUGCCCGUAGAUGCCCUCUGAUCCCAGUCAGGGUUCUGCCAAAGGGGCAGGGACAGCAGGGGAUGUGAGAUGGGGGCACCAGGGUGCUGCUCCCCAGCACCUUCCUCCAGCCUGAGCUCGAGCAGGGCAGCCUCACUGUCAGAGCCCCUGAGCCUCAUUUUCUCUGCAGCUCGCCUUUCCCCAGCAUCUCUUCUCUGCCCUUCCUUGGACCCUUCAGCUAACUGGGGGCUGUCUGCAUCCCACACACCUGCCCCAUGGCCUCUCAGGCAUCCCUGAUGAUACUCCUGUUAAUUUCAGUGGCAGCGUGACCUUGUGGAUCUUUGCAGAAGCCUAACUGUUGGGAAAGCACCUGCCAGCCACCCUGGUCCACGACACGCCCUUGUCACAUCCGCCCUCUGGGCAGCAGCUUUCUGUUUCUGCUCUAGAAUCCACACACCCCGCCCGCUCAGGGCCAUGUCUGACAUCGCUGAGUUAUGAAGACUUCAGAGGGAGAAGGGGGUGGUCCAAGUCCCCGGGAGCCAUGGGCGGGAGACUAAAGACUCCAGGUGGGGCUCGCAGCCAGGGAAGGGCAGCUUUGUGCCAGAGCUAAUGGGAUUAAUUGUUAUUUCUCAAAGAUUUCAAAGCAGAAGCAACUCUCCCCCAAAUUAAGGGUAUAAACGCUGGACGUUCCUAAAGACUCAGGUCUCAGGCACUCAGCACAUUCUCUGAAUCCUACUCGUGUGGCUGGCGCUGUUCUGGGGUCUGGAUCACAGUGGGCAAAGCCUUCUCAGCCCACGGGAAGACUGCAUCCUCUGGGGCAUUGGUAUAAUAGCUGGGCACCAGAGAGCGCCCUGCAGCUGGACCCAAGGGGGACGCCCCCUGAGCGCAAAGGCAGGGGUCACCAUCAGCCCAGCUCUGGGCCCCUGUCUCCGGGGGCUGCUCAUGAGUGCAGGCUUAGAGGCCCUCUGAGAGGUUUGGAUCCCGCCCAGCAGGUCUGGGAAGCUACAUCUCACCAUCAGCUGAGUCACUGCCGUGGUCUAGAAGCUCGUUUAGACAGAAGCCGCUUUUCUGUAUCUGACUGUGCCUUGACCCCGGGAAUGCAGGCCCCUGGAGGAGGCUGGGCUGGUCUCAUGCUUGCCUUCUGCCCUGCAGAGCUUUGGCCAAGGGUCCCAGGAUGUCGGGCUUCUGACUGUCCUAGUGGAUUGGUGGGCUGAGGACCACUCCAGGCACAGACCCUACCAUCUGGGGGUGACGCCAGCCUCACCCUGGCUACUCAGCCCCCAUCUCUGAGGAUCAGCCGUCACUCUCAGACUCCCCCUCCUCCGGUGGGUCUGAUGCCUUAACAAGGUCAGCUGCUCCCUGACGGCUCUACCCUGCCUGGUCCUGUGGCCUGGAUACCGUCCCAGGGCCACUCCAAUGCCUUCCCAUCACCUCCUUCCCUGGAGAAGUCUCUCCCCAAAAGAAGGCGAGUCCCUGCUCGGCGCGGGGCCUGAGCCCUGGGGAGUGCGUGUUGUGUCCGAGACACGCCCCACGGAGGCGGCACGGGAGGCCUGCUGGCUGUCAAGGCUGCUCAUGGCCCAGCCCCUCCGCCUCCCUGCACCCGCUGAGUCCCUGCUUCCUCCCCAAGUGGACUCCUCACCAGCCCUGGGUGUCCCUUCACAUUUCCCCCGGGCUCUGACCUGACAUGCCCAGGGUGCACCUGGG